Molecule: ribosomal RNA, 379 nt
Rfam family: Bacterial large subunit ribosomal RNA
GCUUUAGGGCUAGCGUCGGAAAAUGUGAGUAGUGGAGGUAGAGCACUGAAUAGGCUAGGGGGCAUAGCGCUUACCGAACCUUAUCAAACUCCGAAUGCCACAUACUAUCAGUCCGGCAGUCAGACUAUGAAAGAUAAGUUCCAUGGUCAAAAGGGAAACAGCCCAGAUCGUCAGCUAAGGUCCCAAAGUGUAAGUUAAGUGGAAAAGGAUGUGGGAUUUCUAAGACAACUAGGAUGUUGGCUUAGAAGCAGCCACUCAUUAAAAGAGUGCGUAAUAGCUCACUAGUCAAGAGAUCCUGCGCCGAAAAUGUCCGGGGCUCAAACUUACCACCGAAGCUACGGGUUUACACAUUAGUGUAAGCGGUAGAGGAGCGUCGUAA